GCCUUCCUACGGGACGCAGCAGUGAGGAAUAUUGGUCAAUGGGCGGAAGCCUGAACCAGCCACGUAGCGUGCAGGAUGACGGCCCUACGGGUUGUAAACUGCUUUUAUACGGGAAUAACGCGCCUUACGUGUAGGGCUUUGCAUGUACCGUAUGAAUAAGGACCGGCUAAUUCCGUGCCAGCAGCCGCGGUAAUACGGAAGGUCCGGGCGUUAUCCGGAUUUAUUGGGUUUAACGGGAGCGUAGGCCGCAUGUCAAGCUUGCUGUGAAAUGUCCGGGCUCAAC
This 283-nucleotide ribosomal RNA is filed under the name uncultured bacterium. RNAcentral describes it as "partial 16S ribosomal RNA". It matches the Rfam family "Bacterial small subunit ribosomal RNA", at positions 333 to 613 of the family's 1533-position model. The record is from RNAcentral.